Molecule: ribosomal RNA, 484 nt
Filed under: uncultured bacterium
Lineage: Bacteria
Description: partial 16S ribosomal RNA
Rfam family: Bacterial small subunit ribosomal RNA
Source: RNAcentral
AUUGAACGCUGGCGGCAGGCCUAACACAUGCAAGUCGAGCGGAUGAAGGGAGCUUGCUCCUGGAUUCAGCGGCGGACGGGUGAGUAAUGCCUAGGAAUCUGCCUGGUAGUGGGGGAUAACGUCCGGAAACGGGCGCUAAUACCGCAUACGUCCUGAGGGAGAAAGUGGGGGAUCUUCGGACCUCACGCUAUCAGAUGAGCCUAGGUCGGAUUAGCUAGUUGGUGGGGUAAAGGCCUACCAGGGCGACGAUCCGUAACUGGUCUGAGAGGAUGAUCAGUCACACUGGAACUGAGACACGGUCCAGACUCCUACGGGAGGCAGCAGUGGGGAAUAUUGGACAAUGGGCGAAAGCCUGAUCCAGCCACGCCGCGUGUGUGAAGAAGGUCUUCGGAUUGUAAAGCACUUUAAGUUGGGAGGAAGGGCAGUAAGUUAAUACCUUGCUGUUUUGACGUUACUAACAGAAUAAGCACCGGCUAACUUCGUG